UACAGAGGUCUCAAGCGUUGUUCGGAUUCAUUGGGCGUAAAGGGUGCGUAGGCGGUAGGGUAAGUCUGGUGUGAAAUCCUGGAGCUUAACUUCAGAAAUGCACUGGAUACUGCCCUGCUAGAGGACUGGAGAGGAGAGUGGAAUUCACGGUGUAGCAGUGAAAUGCGUAGAUAUCGUGAGGAAGACCAGUGGCGUAAGCGAAUCUCUGGACAGUUCCUGACGCUGAGGCACGAAGGCCAGGGGAGCAAACGGG
Molecule: ribosomal RNA, 253 nt
Filed under: uncultured bacterium
Lineage: Bacteria
Description: partial 16S ribosomal RNA
Rfam family: Bacterial small subunit ribosomal RNA
Source: RNAcentral